RNAcentral lists this small RNA (996 nucleotides) under Pan troglodytes (chimpanzee). RNAcentral's name for it is "retained intron". The record is from RNAcentral. Lineage: Eukaryota; Metazoa; Chordata; Mammalia; Primates; Hominidae.
GGUUUAUUUUCCAGAUGCAAUCAAUGCCCCAGUCACCUGCUGCUAUAACUUCACCAAUAGGAAGAUCUCAGUGCAGAGGCUGGCGAGCUAUAGAAGAAUCACCAGCAGCAAGUGUCCCAAAGAAGCUGUGAUGUGAGUUCAGCACACCAACCUUCCCUGGCCUGAAGUUCUUCCUUGUGGAGCAAGGGACAAGCCUCAUACACCUAGAGUCAGAGAGUGCACUAUUUAACUUAAUGUACAAAGGUUCCCAAUGGGAAAACUGAGGCACCAAGGGAAAAAGUGAACCCCAACAUCACUCUCCACCUGGGUGCCUAUUCAGAACACCCCAAUUUCUUUAGCUUGAAGUCAGGAUGGCUCCACCUGGACACCUAUAGGAGCAGUUUGCCCUGGGUUCCCUCCUUCCACCUGCCUUCCCCCUCUAGCUCCCAUGGCAGCCCUUUGGUGCAGAAUGGGCUGCACUUCUAGACCAAAACUGCAAAGGAACUUCAUCUAACUCUGUCCUCCCUCCCCACAGCUUCAAGACCAUUGUGGCCAAGGAGAUCUGUGCUGACCCCAAGCAGAAGUGGGUUCAGGAUUCCAUGGACCACCUGGACAAGCAAACCCAAACUCCGAAGACUUGAACACUCACUCCACAACCCAAGAAUCUGCAGCUAACUUAUUUUCCCCUAGCUUUCCCCAGACACCCUGUUUUAUUUUAUUAUAAUGAAUUUUGUUUGUUGAUAUGAAACAUUAUGCCUUAAGUAAUGUUAAUUCUUAUUUAAGUUAUUGAUGUUUUAAGUUUAUCUUUCAUGGUACUAGUGUUUUUUAGAUACAGAGACUUGGGGAAAUUGCUUUUCCUCUUGAACCACAGUUCUACCCCUGGGAUGUUUUGAGGGUCUUUGCAAGAAUCAUUAAUACAAAGAAUUUUUUUUAACAUUCCAAUGCAUUGCUAAAAUAUUAUUGUGGAAAUGAAUAUUUUGUAACUAUUACACCAAAUAAAUAUAUUUUUGUACAAAA